RNAcentral lists this ribosomal RNA (253 nucleotides) under uncultured bacterium. Its description in RNAcentral is "partial 16S ribosomal RNA". It matches the Rfam family "Bacterial small subunit ribosomal RNA", at positions 524 to 776 of the family's 1533-position model. The record is from RNAcentral.
UACGAAGGGGGCUAGCGUUGUUCGGAAUUACUGGGCGUAAAGGGCGCGUAGGCUGUGCUGUAAGUCAGGCGUGAAAUCCCCGGGCUCAACCUGGGAAUUGCGUUUGAUACUGCGGCGCUGGAAUGCAGGAGAGGAUGGCGGAAUUCCCAGUGUAGAGGUGAAAUUCGUAGAUAUUGGGAAGAACACCGGUGGCGAAGGCGGCGGCCUGGUCCGUGACUGACGCUGAGGCGCGAAAGCGUGGGGAGCAAACAGG